Molecule: ribosomal RNA, 484 nt
Filed under: uncultured bacterium
Lineage: Bacteria
Description: partial 16S ribosomal RNA
Rfam family: Bacterial small subunit ribosomal RNA
Source: RNAcentral
AUUGAACGCUGGCGGCAGGCCUAACACAUGCAAGUCGAGCGGAUGAAGGGAGCUUGCUCCUGGAUUCAGCGGCGGACGGGUGAGUAAUGCCUAUGAAUCUGCCUGGUAUUGGGGGAUAACGUCCGGAAACGGGCGCUAAUACCGCAUACGUCCUGAGGUAGAAAGUGGGGGAUCUUCGGACCUCACGCUAUCAGAUGAGCCUAGGUCGGAUUAGCUAGUUGGUGGGGUAAAGGCCUACCAAGGCGACGAUCCGUAACUGGUCUGAGAGGAUGAUCAGUCACACUGGAACUGAGACACGGUCCAGACUCCUACGGGAGGCAGCAGUGGGGAAUAUUGGACAAUGGGCGAAAGCCUGAUACAGCCAUGCCGCGUGUGUGAAGAAGGUCUUCGGAUUGUAAAGCACUUUAAGUUGGGAGGAAGGGCAGUAAGUUAAUACCUUGCUGUUUUGACGUUACCAACAGAAUAAGCACCGGCUAACUUCGUG